AGCAGCCGCGGUAAUUCCAGCUCCAAUAGCGUAUAUUAAAGUUGUUGCAGUUAAAAAGCUCGUAGUUGAAUUUCGGGAUCAGUAUGUUGGUCGUGCUUCGGUACGUACUGUCAUUACUGGUUUCUACCUUCUGAAGAACCUUGAUGUCAUUAAUUUGGUGUCUUGGGGAAUCAGGACUGUUACUUUGAAAAAUUAGAGUGUUUAAAGCAAGCAUACGCUUGAAUACAUUAGCAUGGAAUAAUGAAAUAGGACGUUUGAUUUCUAUUUUGUUGGUUUCUAGGAUCGACGUAAUGAUUAAUAGGGAUAGUUGGGGGCAUUAGUAUUCAAUUGUCAGAGGUGAAAUUCUUGGAUUUAUUGAAGACUAACUACUGCGAAAGCAUUUGCCAAGGAUGUUU
RNAcentral lists this unclassified non-coding RNA (395 nucleotides) under uncultured Glomus. Its description in RNAcentral is "SSU rRNA". It matches the Rfam family "Eukaryotic small subunit ribosomal RNA", at positions 569 to 969 of the family's 1831-position model. Lineage: Eukaryota; Fungi; Glomeromycota; Glomeromycetes; Glomerales; Glomeraceae. The record is from RNAcentral.